Molecule: long non-coding RNA, 695 nt
Filed under: Brachypodium distachyon (stiff brome)
Lineage: Eukaryota; Viridiplantae; Streptophyta; Magnoliopsida; Poales; Poaceae
Description: long non-coding RNA (BDIS_LNC001681)
Source: RNAcentral
CGCGGGCCACCACAUCCUGACGGCGACGGCGACCUCCCUCACUCUGCUGCUAGGGCCACUACUAUUCCUAUUUGACAUAGCUAGUUCUUGUUCUUUCUGCUGUGGAUUGUUUCAGACGCGACUAACAUGUGUUGGUGAGUAAACUUUUUCUAAAGGAACUGAAUGUCUGGAUGUGAAGUUGUGUUGUAAUGUGUUACUUGACUGAUACAUGUUGCAAUUUAAUUUACUAGUCCGACUAGCUGGUGGUGAUAUUUUUGCACCUGAUACAUGCAGCUUCUGCUACUAUACGUCUAUACAUUCACUAGCUCGUGUACUGCUCAUGAGUGAAAGUUUCAGAAACAAUAGUAACUUUGUUUCUUUUCGGUGAAUGCAAUUGUUGAGGCUAAUGUGGUUCUGUAAUCCUUAGGUGUUCCUUGGCGAUACAUGCUGCAAUUUGGUACGGCGAUAUAUUCAGAAAAAAUAGAAAAAGAUGGCCAUAGCAUCAGAUUGUCUGAACUUGGUCAGGUCAUCAUGCAUCGAAGACAUCAAAUCAGCUCGCUUUGAGUGUAUUUCUUUUGAAUUGUUAAUGGACGGUGUUAGUUAGAUCAGCUAACCAGGUUGCUAGAUAUGUAUCAUUGUAUGAGGUUCUGUUGUGAAUCUGAGCUCCUGGUGUAACAAAUAGUUCAAAGAAUAAAAGGCUGUCUAUAUUCAAAAAA